Long non-coding RNA from Scophthalmus maximus (turbot), 3948 nucleotides. The record is from Ensembl. NCBI's taxonomy places the organism in Eukaryota, Metazoa, Chordata, Actinopteri, Pleuronectiformes, Scophthalmidae.
AUGAGGAGCACUGGGGGCCCAAUCAAACGCAGGCAGGAUCAGGAAAUGGAACUGGAGGCAGGAAGCGCCCGUCCACAGGGGCGUCACAGUGAACAGCCUGGCCCGGUCCAAGUACUGCUGACGCCCAAUCAGGAGGAGGAAGAGGACCAGGCAGUGCCCAACCAGGAUGCUGCUCUGGGCCCGGACCCGCCCCCUCCACCCUAUCGGCCCGCUCCCCCCCGACCCCCACUCAGCCUCAGCAUCGCUCACCCUUGUGCCCCUUCCAGCCGAGGGGAGGAGGAGGAGGAGGAGGUCGGAUGUGUGGGGAGGAGAAGGGAGGAAGGUGAAGAUGGGAGGGAGGGGACCGGGGUGAGGCUGUGUGAGUUGCUGCAGGCAGGGGGGGUGAGUGUCAGACCUCUGGGGAAGCACCUAGCCAUCUCUCUGCCCUCGCUUCCUCUGCGUCUCUGGGAUACACACAUCACACACACCGCACACUCCACACACCUUGAGCCCACACACACACCCCCUACCCCUCUGCCCUCUACUCCUCCCCCAUCCUCCCCACUGGAAGCCUCUGGGCAAAGGAAACCUCUAGCGCCUCUCUGGCAGCCCCCCCGGCCCCAUUCCCCCACUGUCGCCACCCAGCACUGGCUGAGGCACGGGGACGCGUCCGACGGCGGCACACGUCAUUGGUCCUCCUGGAGUUUGGACCGCCCUGACGCCGUGGUGAUGCCAUACAGCACGCCCCCAGACUACUGCGCUCCCAUCAGGCCGCGGGCGUCCAGCCAGAACUACAGCUACAGUUGCCAGUACUCUCCAGGGCACCGCAGCUCCCAGCAUGCCCCAGGGCAACACAGUGACCCCCGCUAUGACCGCGAGGAGGCUGAGCUGUCUGAGCUUGACUCCCUUUUCCAGGCCAGUCUGCAGGCUGGAAAGACAGGCUGCAGCCCGUCAGAGAGGCUCAUAUCCAGGGUGGGAGGGCAGGGUCGCUCUAAGACCCCCAACGCAGACAUGGAGAGGAGUGUGUAUGGGGCUGAUGGCACCAGCACCCCCACCUACCUCAACAAGGUGACACCUACGUCUUUCCAACGCAGGCCCCCCCUCGCAUGUUCGCCCCUCACCGCUGUCCAACAUCUCACGGACGCGUUUUCUCCCUCUGCAGCCAGCGAUGGUGCGGGAUCUGCGUUUUGGGGCGGAGCCCGGCGACGGGGAAAACCUGCGGCGAAUUGGCCGCAGCCUGAGCGGCACAGUGGUGACCUCGCGCCGCGGCCGCCUCACUGCAACCCGCAGCUUUGAGCUGUCGGGCAAUGCUGGGAGUUUCUGGCUGUGUCUGACGGGGGUCAAGCUGUCCUCCGACCAGAGUCCUGCUCUGCUUCACUAACGUCUCGCCGUGUCAACACUGCCACGCGGGGGCGGCGGCGGCGGCGGUGCCGCGGUCCUUUUCGACGGCCUCGCCUGCGACGGACCUGGCAUCGGGAGGAUCAAAAACUCAGCUGCGAUCCCGUUCUUUCUCCUUCCCCCCCGUCAAACGACAUGCACACGCAUACACAUGCACGCACACACACGCACAUCGGCACUGACGUAGAGCCUCCCUCAGCGCCUGCAGCACCCUGCUUUGCCUCACCUUGCCCCCCCCCUUCAACCUACUAUUCUGUCUAUGCAGUCACUCUGACCCCCAACUACAACCUCAAGCUUCUCCCCUACUUCCCGGGACUGUUGUUUCUCGUCUCCCCCUGGGUUUCUCAGAGGGAAUCCCUGUGCAGUCAGCCUGGCGCGCAUGCCGCUUCCUGUGGCGUGGUCAGUUUUGCGUUGGUUUGGGCACCGGCCCGGGUCUGACUGGGACCCGAGCUCUCGGCUGACUCGCCCCUCCAUCCCGCGGGACCCUCCGCUCAGGGGGAGGCUCUUACCAAGUAGCCAGGCCCUCUUCCUCUUUCUUCACGGGCAUUUCCUGUUGGACGCACACGUAGCCGAACUGGGUCUGUUUUAAGAUGGACAGCCAUAUUCUUUUCUCUCUUUUGAUUUAGGGUUUGUCUGUUUGUUUUGUUUUUUUCUUCCUGUGUGCGCGCACAGUAGACCCGCCCGAGACCGAACUCUCUAUUAACUAAAAGUCAUGUACAGAAAAACUCAUGUAUGAAACCUGUAUGUUAAUUAAUAAGACCUUAUGGAAUGUUGAUAAUGAUAAUUAACAAUUAUUGAUAAACUUAAAGUGGUACUUCCUCAUGUCUGCAUUUCAAAUACGAGUGGAGUGCACUUCACAAGUGUCUAGCUGGAGUUACCACCCCUCCUACCCAAACCGCUCGCCGACCUAAUGACAGCUCUCCCGUUUCUACCGGGAGAUUAAACAAGAAAAGCGCUUCCUUUUUCUCUGCGUCUUUCCUCUCCUCCUUUCCUUUCUUGCUCUCUUUUAUUCUCGCUUGCUUUCUUCCCUCCGGACAGGUUAAAAAAAAAAACGGUAGCACCGGAAACAGGCCAGCAAGGGGGGGAAAGUCGAGAAGGAAUGGGAGAAUGUAGCUUUAGGGAAUCCCUUCUCUUGGGCUUUAUCAGUGAGCAGAGAGACGACUCAAGUGCGCUUUGUAAGAUUACUUGGCAGAAGAAGUGCACUUUCCGAAGGCUGUUUGACCAAGAAGCAGGUGGAGCGACGUCAGUGGUGUUUGUUUAACUUAAAAAGGCCUCAGGUGAACUUCAGUGGCACUUAUGAAUUCACACUUUAUUAUUUCUCUCACCCACUGAAACUGUUUUUUUGAGAUCUCAGCUGUGAAUAGAAAAAAAGAAAGAAGCUCAUCUUCAGCCUGAGACAGUGACAUGUCAAAUAUGAGUAUACUUUAUAUGAUAUGUAUGUAUUAGAGGUAUAUUUUCAGCCAGUGAGCUAUCUUCUUUAGAGAUGUCAACCAUUCCUCAGUUGUAUGAAGAGUUAUUAUACAGUAAUGAACAGAUUUAACUUAAUUCACCCCCCUUUACUGAGUAGCAUUCUGACAUGUGUAGAGUACAUUUAUUAUAUGCUUUAUUCUAUUAAAUAUCAUAAAAAAAUUACAACGUCCUUAUUAUAAAACUGGCCAAUGUAAAGUUCUUUAAGAAUUUACUGAUGUUGACCGAUCGUUGUGACUAAACCAAAGGUUGGCACUUAACUCAGAGAGCUUAUUUAACAUCGUCGUUUCUGGGUUUUUUUCCCCAUUUAGGUUCAGAUUUUGUUGAUGUAGGUUUGUUUGUCUGUUAGUUUGUUUGUUGUUUGGGGUUUUGGAUGUGGGAGAAUGUAGCCAAUUGUAGCGCAUGAGUCCGCUAUGCAAAUGAACCUUCCCUCCUGUAUCAGAGACGAGUCAGGAGGCAGACACACCCACCCACGGGCGCUCUCAUGGACUCUGGGCGGCGACGCGGGGGAGAGGGGGGAGAGAAUCUCAUGUUUAAUGCUGCUGGUGAACUUUGUUGUUCUGCAUCUACUGCUAUGUUUCAUCCAAUGGAAUGCAAAAAAGAGGGCAACACGGAGGGAGAGAGUGGGAUGGAGAAAGAGAGCGAAUGAAUGUAAACUAAAGGAUGAAAGUGUGAGAUUUUUUGGGUUUUUUUGGCGAAUGACAUGAGCCCGAGAGGGGUGGAGACUGGGCGAACGGCCGAAGGUGGUUUAUUGUUUGUGGGUGUGUGUAGAUUAAUGUGUGUCAGUUCUGGGGUGUUGUUGCUCGGGGAAAGAGGGAACCUGUAUUUUUGCAAUAAAGUUAUUACCAAUGCACUCCCACAGGGGGCGUAACCACCGUAACAUGUCUGUGUCCUCUUUUGCUUUUGGAAAGAUCAGGUGUAAAAAAAAAAACGUAACUCCCUGUCUGUUUCUGAAAUCUUCAAACAACUGGAAAACCAAAUCCACUGUAGGUAUCUGUAAUGUUUGUAUAAGUACCUGUAAUGUACUGGUAAAAGUAACUGUAAUGUUUGUUACAUAUCUGCAUCUAACCAAAGAAACAUUGGAAUAUAUUCUAAUUUCGUGAA